GAACGCACAUUGCACCCUCUGGUAUUCCGGAGGGUAUGCCUGUUUGAGUGUCAUUAAUAUCUCAACACAGACAAGUUUUAUGACUUGCACUGAUGCUUGGAUGCUGAAGGUUGCUGGCAAUAUUUGUCAGCUCCUUUUAAAUGUAUUAGCAGAAACCUAUGCAAAAAGCUGGCUUCAGUUUGAUAAGCACUUAUCUGUAUUGCUGUUGCUAGUGAAAUGCUCUUGUUUCAGCUUCCAAUUGUCCAAUUCUUUGGACUGCCUCACGAGGUAAUUUAAUCUUGACACUUGACCUCAAAUCAGGUAGGACUACCCGCUGAAAUUA
RNAcentral lists this unclassified non-coding RNA (322 nucleotides) under Clavaria californica. RNAcentral describes it as "sequence contains 5.8S rRNA gene". The stretch from base 1 to 53 matches the Rfam family "5.8S ribosomal RNA", at positions 102 to 154 of the family's 154-position model. The record is from RNAcentral. Lineage: Eukaryota; Fungi; Basidiomycota; Agaricomycetes; Agaricales; Clavariaceae.